Molecule: unclassified non-coding RNA, 339 nt
Filed under: plant metagenome
Description: partial contains small subunit ribosomal RNA, internal transcribed spacer 1, and 5.8S ribosomal RNA
Source: RNAcentral
UUUCCGUAGGUGAACCUGCGGAAGGAUCAUUAUCGAAAAGCAAUCCGGGGGGGAGGCCACCGAGCGAAGUUUGGUAGAUCGUGGAUUGUCGCUGGCCUUUGGAAACGAAGGCAUGUGCACGUUCCGAGUUCUCCUUAGUCCUCCUUUGCCUUUCCUUUGGAAGACCCUUUCUUCACACCCGUGCACACAUUGUAGGUCUCCGCGAGGGGAUCUAUGUCUUCACAAAACUCUACGUAUGUCCAGGAAUGUAUCUAAAGCGUCGAACGGCUCGGCUCCAUGCCCGGUCGCCGACGGUAAAGAACCAUAAUACAACUUUCAGCAACGGAUCUCUUGGCUCUC